Molecule: long non-coding RNA, 338 nt
Filed under: Homo sapiens (human)
Lineage: Eukaryota; Metazoa; Chordata; Mammalia; Primates; Hominidae
Description: non-protein coding lnc-ABHD4-7:1
Source: RNAcentral
AUGCUCUGCCCUGGCCUGCUGUGGGCAUUCGUGGUCCCCUUUGGCUUCAGAUCCAGCAUGGCUCAGAAAGUAACCCAAGUUCAGACCACAGUAACUAGGCAGAAAGGAGUAGCUGUGACCUUGGACUGCAUGUUUGAAACCAGAUAGAAUUCGUACACUUUAUACUGGUACAAGCAACAAGCAACCUCCCAGUGAAGAGAUGGUUUUCCUUAUUCAUCAGGGUUAUUCUAAGUCAAAUGCAAAGCCUGUGAACUUUGAAAAAAAGAAAAAGUUCAUCAACCUCACCAUCAAUUCCUUAAAACUGACUCAGCCAAGUACUUCUGUGCUCUCAGGAAUCC